Ictalurus punctatus (channel catfish) is the source of this 1030-nucleotide long non-coding RNA. RefSeq lists it as uncharacterized. The record is from RefSeq and is a predicted model, not a curated record. The transcript has 2 exons. Lineage: Eukaryota; Metazoa; Chordata; Actinopteri; Siluriformes; Ictaluridae.
CCUUAACACAUUAACACAUCGGCCAUUAGGACCAGAUGGGACCACUGGAGACCUCUGAAAUAAAAGUGGCCUAAAGUGUGAGAAGGAAAGGAGAGAGGAGAAGAAAAAGCCAGAAAGGAAGGAAGCGAGAGGGGUGAGGGAAGAUGCUGAGCUUCUUGAGGAAGGAGACGACAAGCACCAGGAGCUCCUCGUUAUCCCGAUCCAGAGUCUUGACCAGAAGCUGCACGAUGUUCUUGUUCCUCAUCUUCAGCUCGGUGCGCGUGUCCUCAGCCAGGUUCAAGAGCAGAUACAGAGCCACUGGAACAACAGGACGGUGGUUAUAACGCUUCGUAACGCUCGGUAGGUCUACAGAAAAGAGAAACGUCCGAGCGUUACCUCUCAGCAGCUGCUCCUGCUUCACUAGAAGACUCUGGUAUUUCUUAUAGGCCUUUUCAUGUUCUUUCUUCAGGUUCUGGUUAUCGGCAUCUGCUUCACGUACAGGGAUGUCAAGGAUAAAGAGAUCAAAUGAAUAACAAGUGAGAUGUAAGCGUAGCAGAUGAGUGAUCGGUCAGUUUAUCCUUCAAACCGUGGACACGUUUUAUCUACAGGAGCGAACAUCGUGUUAACAAAAACACUGGCAUUAUUUUAUUAAUCGGACAGCACAGGAUCUCAAAUGAAAAGAGUGAUCAAAUUGUUUAUAGCCGAUGUAUAUAUUACGAUUUCAUGACCUCCGUUUGGUAUCUCAUGGCUUCCUUAAGUUCUGUGAAUAAUUCACUGUCAUUGCGUGGUGCAGUAUGGUGUGCUGGAUCAAGUGCUAUUUUAUUAAGGUGCUGAAUAACGAGUGUGAAAGCCAAUUUGUUAAAUGACAAAAUUAUUCUUUUUUAAAUGCAUAAAAGUUACAUUUACAACUAGGACAAUUUCUGGAGCACUAUUUCAGCCAUACACUGUACUCCUAUUAGAUUUAUUUUAAUUCUCGCCAAUCUUUUCAGUCAGUUAAUGUUCAUAUUUUUAUGUUACAUCGCAAAGAAAUAAAAUGUCUGUCUUCAGUCCA